AUUGAACGCUGGCGGCAUGCCUUACACAUGCAAGUCGAACGGCAGCACGGGAGCAAUCCUGGUGGCGAGUGGCGAACGGGUGAGUAAUAUAUCGGAACGUGCCCAGUCGUGGGGAUAACGUAGCGAAAGCUACGCUAAUACCGCAUACGAUCUAUGGAUGAAAGCGGGGGAUCGCAAGACCUCGCGCGAUUGGAGCGGCCGAUAUCAGAUUAGGUAGUUGGUGAGGUAAAGGCUCACCAAGCCGGCGAUCUGUAGCUGGUCUGAGAGGACGACCAGCCACACUGGGACUGAGACACGGCCCAGACUCCUACGGAGGCAGCAGUGGGGAAUUUUGGGACAAUGGGCGCAAGCCUGAUCCAGCAAUGCCGCGUGCAGGAUGAAGGCC
RNAcentral lists this ribosomal RNA (385 nucleotides) under uncultured bacterium. RNAcentral's name for it is "bacterial SSU rRNA". It matches the Rfam family "Bacterial small subunit ribosomal RNA", at positions 30 to 416 of the family's 1533-position model. The record is from RNAcentral.